ACAACCCAAACAACUUGUUUAAGCUUCUUGAACUUUGAUUUUGUGUUGUCCUUAAAAUUAAUUGAUAAAGUGAAAGCACAAGGGUGAAAAUACAUUAAGGGUGUAUUUGAUUACAUUUAUUUUCCAUGAAAAAUAUUAGUUUUCAACCCAAAUUCCUAUUUAGAGUGUUUUAUUACUAUUUUUUUCUAUGAUAAAUAUUUUCCAACUUUCGAAAAUAUACCUAAUUUUCCUUAUUUUUAAGGAAAACAUUUUUUUUGGGUAGAAGUGAUUUUUAUUUUCCACAAAAUAUGGAAAACAUUUUUUUUCUAGGUGAUAUUUUCCAUGCCAAUCAAACACACUCUAAAUGAAAACUGGUCCAAAAUCAUAUUGAAUAUGAGAAAAAUCACCUUACAUAACAUCUCCUAAUAUAAUUCUCGAUGCAGCAAAACAAAAUAUAAAUAAUAAUUCAUGUUCUGAUCCUCAGAAAAUAAGCUAAUAG
Molecule: long non-coding RNA, 478 nt
Filed under: Olea europaea (common olive)
Lineage: Eukaryota; Viridiplantae; Streptophyta; Magnoliopsida; Lamiales; Oleaceae
Description: long non-coding RNA (OEUR_LNC011950)
Source: RNAcentral